UACGAAGGGGGCUAGCGUUGCUCGGAAUUACUGGGCGUAAAGCGCACGUAGGCGGCUUUCUAAGUCGGGGGUGAAAUCCUGGAGCUCAACUCCAGAACUGCCUUCGAUACUGGAAAGCUCGAGUCCGGGAGAGGUGGGUGGAACUGCGAGUGUAGAGGUGAAAUUCGUAGAUAUUCGCAAGAACACCAGUGGCGAAGGCGGCUCACUGGCCCGGUACUGACGCUGAGGUGCGAAAGCGUGGGGAGCAAACAGG
Molecule: ribosomal RNA, 253 nt
Filed under: uncultured bacterium
Lineage: Bacteria
Description: partial 16S ribosomal RNA
Rfam family: Bacterial small subunit ribosomal RNA
Source: RNAcentral